RNAcentral lists this small RNA (563 nucleotides) under Pan troglodytes (chimpanzee). RNAcentral describes it as "processed transcript". The record is from RNAcentral. Lineage: Eukaryota; Metazoa; Chordata; Mammalia; Primates; Hominidae.
GGGAAGUUUUAAAAGAAGAAACUGGAACAGACCUAUUCCUCAAAGAGGAAGAUGAACCUGCUUACAAAAGCUGCAAACAAGAGAAUACCGCUUCUGGGAAGAAAGUCAGAAAAUCACUAGUCUUAGAUAAUUGGGAAAAAGAAGAAUCAGGCAUUCAACUGUUGACUGAAGACAUUUCAGACAUGCAGUGACUGCAGCACUAGUAUUCCUGAUAUUGAAGCAUACCUUGAAAACAUCUUUGGCAAUUACAUAUGACCACCUUACAUCUGUUUUCAGCCACUGCUUUCUAAGAGCCAUGUAGCACAUUCUCUUAAUCCAUGUAAAGUGAUUUGAGUUCCUGGCGUUUAAUUAACAUAGAACUUUUGGGUAAAGUUAUUAUAUAGAAGAUCAUGUCUAUAACAUAGUAAUCUUUAAAAUAAGGGAAGGAAAAAAACAUAAGCUUGAUUUUUUGUUAUGAAUAUAUUUCCUAAUUUGUAAAUAAAGCAUUCUUGGCUCAUUUUUUGACAUUACAUCCUCUCUUUAAACCUUUUGCAAAAUUUUGAAGCAAUAAAGACUAACAUUUA